CCGCCAGCGAUGGCCGCGUUGCGAGGUGCUGCAUGGUUGUCGUCAGCUCGUGCCGUGAGGUGUCGGGUUAAGUCCCAUAACGAGCGCAACCCCUACCUUUAGUUGCCAUCAGGUAAUGCUGGGGACUCUAAAGGAACUGCCUACGCAAGUAGUGAGGAAGGCGGGGAUGACGUCAAAUCAGCACGGCCCUUACGUCCAGGGCUACACACGUGCUACAAUGGCCGAUACAGAGGGCAGCUACCUGGUGACAGGAUGCAAAUCUCCAAAGUCGGUCUCAGUUCGGAUCGGAGUCUGCAACCCGACUCCGUGAAGUUGGAUUCGCUAGUAAUCGCGCAUCAGCCAUGGCGCGGUGAAUACGUUCCCGGGCCUU
Molecule: ribosomal RNA, 370 nt
Filed under: uncultured Sphingobacteriales bacterium
Lineage: Bacteria; Pseudomonadati; Bacteroidota; Sphingobacteriia; Sphingobacteriales
Description: bacterial SSU rRNA
Rfam family: Bacterial small subunit ribosomal RNA
Source: RNAcentral